RNAcentral lists this ribosomal RNA (372 nucleotides) under uncultured organism. RNAcentral's name for it is "bacterial SSU rRNA". It matches the Rfam family "Bacterial small subunit ribosomal RNA", at positions 526 to 896 of the family's 1533-position model. The record is from RNAcentral.
CAGAGGUCCCGAGCGUUGUUCGGAUUCACUGGGCGUAAAGGGUGCGCAGGUGGGUUUGCAAGUUUGAUGUGAAAGCCCCGGGCUUAACCCGGGAAUGGCAUUGAAUACUGCAGAUCUGGAGGAUUGGAGGGGGGACUGGAAUUCUUGGUGUAGCAGUGAAAUGCGUAGAUAUCAAGAGGAACACCAGUGGCGAAGGCGAGUCCCUGGACAAUACCUGACACUGAGGCACGAAAGCCAAGGGAGCAAACAGGAUUAGAUACCCUGGUAGUCUUGGCUGUAAACGGUGCGCAUUUGCUGUAAACGGAAUCGACCCCGUUUGUGGCGAAGCUAACGCGAUAAAUGCGCCGCCUGGGAAGUACGGUCGCAAGAUUA